UCGAACCUCGGGGAUCCUUUACGUGCCGGCGCGCCUCCUACAUUAUACAGUGAACCUGCGGAAGGAUCAUUAAAUCAGUUAUCGUUUAUUUGAUAGUUUUUUACAUGGAUAACCGUGAUAACUUCAGAACUAAUACAUGACAGCCUUUUGGCGUAUAUAUUAGAUACAAACCAACUUUUUGGUGAUUCAUAAUAUCUUGUCGAACCGAUCUUCGGUGUAUCAUUCAAAUUUCUGCCCUAUCAACUGUCGAUGGUAGGAUCGUGGCCUACCAUGGUAACAACGGGUAACGGGGAAUCAGGGUUCUAUUCCGGAGAGGGAGCCUGAGAAACGGCUACCACAUCCAAGGAAGGCAGCAGGCGCGCAAAUUACCCAAUCCUGACACAGGGAGGUAGUGACAAUAUAUAACGAUCCGGGGCACUUUGUGUUUCGGAAUUGGAAUGAGUACAAUUUAAACACCUUAACGAGGAACAAUUGGAGGGCAAGUCUGGUGCCAGCAGCCGCGGUAAUUCCAGCUCCAAUAGCGUAUAUUAAUGUUGUUGCAGUUAAAAAGCUCGUAGUUGAAAUUGGAGGUUUAUUCGUUUAAACCUCUCUGAAAGAAAUUCUUUCCGUUACUUUGAAAAAAUUAGAGUGUUCAACGCAGGUUUCGCCUGAAUAUAUUAGCAUGGAAUAACAUAACACGACGAGGGUCCAUUUUGUUGGCUUGCAAACCCACGUAAUGAUUAAUAGGGACAGUCGGGGGCGUCAGUAUUGUGUGUCAGAGGUGAAAUUCUUGGAUUUACACAAGACUAACUACUGCGAAGGCAUUCGCCAAGGAUGUAUUCAUUAAUCAAGAACGAAAGUUAGGGGAUCAAAGAUGAUCAGAUACCGUCGUAGUCUUAACCGUAAACUAUGCCGACUGAGAAUGGGCAGCGCUUUUACGUUGUCCGCGCUCUACGAGAAAUCAAAGUGAUCAGGUUCUGGGGGGAGUAUGGUCGCAAGGCUGAAACUUAAAGGAAUUGACGGAAGGGCACCACCAGGAGUGGAGCCUGCGGCUUAAUUUGACUCAACACGGGGAAACUCACCAGGUCCAGACACAAUAAGGAUUGACAGAUUGAUAGCUCUUUCUUGAUUUUGUGGGUGGUGGUGCAUGGCCGUUCUUAGUUGGUGGAGUGAUUUGUCUGCUUAAUUGCGAUAACGAACGAGACCUUGACCUACUAAAUAGCUCUACUUGCGAUUGCAGGUAGCUAGCUUCUUAGAGGGACUAUCUAUUACAAGUAGAUGGAAGUUCGAGGCAAUAACAGGUCUGUGAUGCCCUUAGACGUUCUGGGCCGCACGCGCGCUACACUGACGGAGCCAGCGAGUUGGCCAAGCCCGAGAGGGCUAGGUAAUCUUGUGAAACUCCGUCGUGCUGGGGAUAGAGCAUUGCAAUUAUUGCUCUUCAACGAGGAAUUCCUAGUAAGCGCAAGUCAUCAGCUUGCGUUGAUUACGUCCCUGCCCUUUGUACACACCGCCCGUCGCUACUACCGAUUGAAUGGUUUAGUGAGACCUUGGGAGGGAAUGAGGCUGGGGGCCAGGUUGAGCCGACUUCGCAGAAAUAGGUCAAACCUGAUUACUAGAGCAAGCACUACUUAGCUUUUGUUAUG
This 1622-nucleotide ribosomal RNA is filed under the name Yarrowia lipolytica. RNAcentral's name for it is "SSU rRNA". It matches the Rfam family "Eukaryotic small subunit ribosomal RNA". Lineage: Eukaryota; Fungi; Ascomycota; Dipodascomycetes; Dipodascales. The record is from RNAcentral.